Molecule: ribosomal RNA, 1388 nt
Filed under: Vibrio cholerae
Lineage: Bacteria; Pseudomonadati; Pseudomonadota; Gammaproteobacteria; Vibrionales; Vibrionaceae
Description: partial 23S ribosomal RNA
Rfam family: Bacterial large subunit ribosomal RNA
Source: RNAcentral
AGCUGCUACGGCAGUGAAGUCAUUGAUGCCAUGCUUCCAGGAAAAGCCUCUAAGCUUCAGAUAGUCAGGAAUCGUACCCCAAACCGACACAGGUGGUCGGGUAGAGAAUACCAAGGCGCUUGAGAGAACUCGGGUGAAGGAACUAGGCAAAAUGGUACCGUAACUUCGGGAGAAGGUACGCUCUUGAUGGUGAAGUCCCUUGCGGAUGGAGCUGACGAGAGUCGCAGAUACCAGGUGGCUGCAACUGUUUAUUAAAAACACAGCACUGUGCAAAAUCGCAAGAUGACGUAUACGGUGUGACGCCUGCCCGGUGCCGGAAGGUUAAUUGAUGGGGUUAGCGCAAGCGAAGCUCUUGAUCGAAGCCCCGGUAAACGGCGGCCGUAACUAUAACGGUCCUAAGGUAGCGAAAUUCCUUGUCGGGUAAGUUCCGACCUGCACGAAUGGCGUAAUGAUGGCCACGCUGUCUCCACCCGAGACUCAGUGAAAUUGAAAUCGCUGUGAAGAUGCAGUGUACCCGCGGCUAGACGGAAAGACCCCGUGAACCUUUACUACAGCUUGGCACUGAACAUUGAACCUACAUGUGUAGGAUAGGUGGGAGGCUAUGAAGACGUGACGCCAGUUGCGUUGGAGCCGUCCUUGAAAUACCACCCUUGUAUGUUUGAUGUUCUAACUUAGCCCCAUUAUCUGGGGUGAGGACAGUGCCUGGUGGGUAGUUUGACUGGGGCGGUCUCCUCCCAAAGAGUAACGGAGGAGCACGAAGGUGGGCUAAUCACGGUUGGACAUCGUGAGGUUAGUGCAAUGGCAUAAGCCCGCUUAACUGCGAGAAUGACGGUUCGAGCAGGUGCGAAAGCAGGUCAUAGUGAUCCGGUGGUUCUGUAUGGAAGGGCCAUCGCUCAACGGAUAAAAGGUACUCCGGGGAUAACAGGCUGAUACCGCCCAAGAGUUCAUAUCGACGGCGGUGUUUGGCACCUCGAUGUCGGCUCAUCACAUCCUGGGGCUGAAGUCGGUCCCAAGGGUAUGGCUGUUCGCCAUUUAAAGUGGUACGCGAGCUGGGUUUAGAACGUCGUGAGACAGUUCGGUCCCUAUCUGCCGUGGGCGUUGGAAGAUUGAAGGGGGCUGCUCCUAGUACGAGAGGACCGGAGUGGACGAACCUCUGGUGUUCGGGUUGUGUCGCCAGACGCAUUGCCCGGUAGCUAAGUUCGGAAUUGAUAAGCGCUGAAAGCAUCUAAGCGCGAAGCGAGCCCUGAGAUGAGUCUUCCCUGAUACUUUAAGUAUCCUAAAGGGUUGUUCGAGACUAGAACGUUGAUAGGCAGGGUGUGUAAGCGUUGUGAGGCGUUGAGCUAACCUGUACUAAUUGCCCGUGAGGCUUAACCAUACAACACCCAAGG